This 545-nucleotide ribosomal RNA is filed under the name uncultured Glomus. RNAcentral's name for it is "SSU rRNA". It matches the Rfam family "Eukaryotic small subunit ribosomal RNA", at positions 549 to 1098 of the family's 1831-position model. Lineage: Eukaryota; Fungi; Glomeromycota; Glomeromycetes; Glomerales; Glomeraceae. The record is from RNAcentral.
UGGAGGGCAAGUCUGGUGCCAGCAGCCGCGGUAAUUCCAGCUCCAAUAGCGUGUAUUAAAGUUGUUGCAGUUAAAAAGCUCGUAGUUGAAUUUCAGGCCUGGCUGGACAGUCCGCCCUUCGGGUGAGUACUGUCUGUGGUCGGGUCCUACCUUCUGGCGAAGCGUCAUGGCCUUAACCGGCCGUGGCGGGGAACCAGGACUUUUACUGUGAAAAAAUUAGAGUGUUCAAAGCAGGCAAUCGCUUGGAUACAUUAGCAUGGAAUAAUGGAAUAGGACAAUGGUUCUAUUUGUUGGUUUCUAGGACCGUUGUAAUGAUUAAUAGGGAUAGUUGGGGGCAUUAGUAUUCAAUUGUCAGAGGUGAAAUUCUUGGAUUUAUUGAAGACUAACUACUGCGAAAGCAUUUGCCAAGGAUGUUUUCAUUAAUCAAGAACGAAAGUUAGGGGAUCGAAGACGAUCAGAUACCGUCGUAGUCUUAACCAUAAACUAUGCCGACUAGGAAUCGGGCGAUGUUGACAAAAUGACGCGCUCGGCACCUCAUGGGAAAC